RNAcentral lists this ribosomal RNA (496 nucleotides) under uncultured bacterium. RNAcentral's name for it is "partial 16S ribosomal RNA". It matches the Rfam family "Bacterial small subunit ribosomal RNA", at positions 28 to 507 of the family's 1533-position model. The record is from RNAcentral.
GACGAACGCUGGCGGUGUGCCUAACACAUGCAAGUUGAGCGCUAACGGAUGGUGCUUUUGCCCACUGGGUGAGCAGCUGACGGGUGAGUAACGCGUGGAGAAUCUGCUUUUUAUCGGGGGACAACAUCUUGAAACGACUGCUAAUACUGCAUAAAACCUUUAACCACAAGAUUCAAGUUUUAAUGAUGCCUUUGCAUCAUUCAUAGAUCAUUCGCCGUUUUUUUAGUUAGUGGGUGAGGUAAAGGCCCACCAAGGCGAGGAUACGUAGCCGACCGGAGUGGUUGAUGGCCACAAUGGGACUUGGACAAGGGCCAAAACCCUACGGGGAGCAGCAGGAGGGAAUCUUCGGACAAGGAGGAAAGUCUGGACGAGCAACGCCGGGGGAGGGGAGAAGGUUUUCGGGGCGGAAAAGUCUGUUGGUAGGGAAGAAAGUGGGUGAGGGUGGAAAGCUGAUGAAGUGACGGUAACUACCGAGAAAGCAGCGGCUAACUACGUG